Molecule: ribosomal RNA, 613 nt
Filed under: uncultured bacterium
Lineage: Bacteria
Description: bacterial SSU rRNA
Rfam family: Bacterial small subunit ribosomal RNA
Source: RNAcentral
GCAUGGUCCGGUGUGAAAAACUCCGGUGGUGUGAGAUGGACCCGCGUUUGAUUAGCUAGUUGGUGGGGUAACGGCCUACCAAGGCGACGAUCAAUAGCCGACCUGAGAGGGUGACCGGCCACAUUGGGACUGAGACACGGCCCAAACUCCUACGGGAGGCAGCAGUGGGGAAUAUUGCACAAUGGGGGAAACCCUGAUGCAGCGACGCCGCGUGAGUGAAGAAGUAUUUCGGUAUGUAAAGCUCUAUCAGCAGGGAAGAAAAUGACGGUACCUGACUAAGAAGCCCCGGCUAACUACGUGCCAGCAGCCGCGGUAAUACGUAGGGGGCAAGCGUUAUCCGGAUUUACUGGGUGUAAAGGGAGCGUAGACGGUAAAGCAAGUCUGAAGUGAAAGCCCGGGGCUCAACCCCGGGACUGCUUUGGAAACUGUUUAACUAGAGUGCUGGAGAGGUAAGCGGAAUUCCUAGUGUAGCGGUGAAAUGCGUAGAUAUUAGGAGGAACACCAGUGGCGAAGGCGGCUUACUGGACAGUAACUGACGUUGAGGCUCGAAAGCGUGGGGAGCAAACAGGAUUAGAUACCCUGGUAGUCCACGCCGUAAACGAUGGAUACUAGG